Molecule: long non-coding RNA, 560 nt
Organism: Homo sapiens (human)
Lineage: Eukaryota; Metazoa; Chordata; Mammalia; Primates; Hominidae
Product: long intergenic non-protein coding RNA 1090
Source: Ensembl
UUUUCCUGCCUCAGCCUCCUGAGUAGCUGGAACUACAGGCGCCGCGCCACCACUCCCGGCUAAUUUUUUUAUUUUAUUUUAUUUUUUAUUUUUAGUAGAGACGGGGUUUCACCGUAGCCAGAAUGGUCUUGAUCUCCUGACCUCGUCAUCCGCCCGCCUCGGCCUCCCAAAGUGCUGGGCUUACAGGCGUGAGACACUGCGCCCGGCCCAUACUACUACUUUUUUGGACACACAUGACAUUUGGUGCCAAAACCUGGACAGGAAGACUCCUUCAGGAGACUGGUACCCUGUCCUCGUCAUCACUCCGUGAGGCAAUCCACCUAUGACCUUGGGUCCUCAGACCCACCAGCCCAAGGAACAUCUCACCAAUUUCAUAUCGGGCUUCCAAGGCGAUUGGGCAGUGUCAGUCUUCAGCUGCUAAGCCGAGAAGAUCUGGGAAGGAGUCACUCAGAGAGCCUUGGGCCAGAGUUCCAGGGGAUCUGGAAGCGGCUGCCAGAAUGAGAAGACUUCUCUCAAAAGAAAGUCUAGAAUUCUAUGGUUGUGAAAAGUUGUGACUGGAA